RNAcentral lists this ribosomal RNA (320 nucleotides) under Klebsiella pneumoniae. RNAcentral's name for it is "bacterial LSU rRNA". It matches the Rfam family "Bacterial large subunit ribosomal RNA", at positions 465 to 789 of the family's 2925-position model. Lineage: Bacteria; Pseudomonadati; Pseudomonadota; Gammaproteobacteria; Enterobacterales; Enterobacteriaceae. The record is from RNAcentral.
GCUAAAUACUCCUGACUGCCCGAAAGUGAACCAGUACCGUGAGGGAAAGGCGAAAAGAUCCCCGGCGAGGGGAGUGAAAAAGAACCUGAAACCGUGUACGAACAAGCAGUGGGAGCACCAACGGGUGUGACUGCGUACCUUUUGAAUAAUGGGUCAGCGACUUAUAUUCUGUAGCAAGGUUAACCGUAUAGGGGAGCCGCAGGGAAACCGAGGCUUAACUGGGCGUUAAGUUGCAGGGUAUAGACCCGAAACCCGGUGAUCUAGCCAUGGGCAGGUUGAAGGUUGGGUAACACUAACUGGAGGACCGAACCGACUAAUGU